AUGAUCAACAAGUACUGCAUCACAGAGAACCCCUCAUGUCUUGAAGACUCUGAAGUCCGCAUGGCCAUCGAGUACUUCCAACAACUCCUUGGAUUUGACUGCACACCCACGGAAGAAGUUCCUACUUUGAAGAUGCUGAUGGCUCUAAAGGCACUGACCAACAUCCGAAGGUUGACAACAGACAGCAAGAUCAGUAUCAUCAACAAGUGCUUUGACAAUCACAACUAGGACAAGAGAACAGAGAUCAGAGUUGCUGCUCUUGAUCUUGUCAGACGUCUGCCGUGCAAACCAGAAUAUCAAACCUAUGCAUUGGCCAUGUACAAGAACCAGCACUUUGACAGUGAGCUUCGCAUUGCAGCCUACCGUGCAAUCAUGACGUGCCCAAGUGAGAACAUCAUGGAUGCU
Molecule: long non-coding RNA, 405 nt
Organism: Asterias rubens (European starfish)
Lineage: Eukaryota; Metazoa; Echinodermata; Asteroidea; Forcipulatida; Asteriidae
Exons: 3
Source: RefSeq, a predicted model, not a curated record